Molecule: ribosomal RNA, 864 nt
Filed under: uncultured Leuconostoc sp.
Lineage: Bacteria; Bacillati; Bacillota; Bacilli; Lactobacillales; Lactobacillaceae
Description: bacterial SSU rRNA
Rfam family: Bacterial small subunit ribosomal RNA
Source: RNAcentral
GAUGAACGCUGGCGGCGUGCCUAAUACAUGCAAGUCGAACGCGCAGCGAGAGGUGCUUGCACCUUUCAAGCGAGUGGCGAACGGGUGAGUAACACGUGGAUAACCUGCCUCAAGGUUGGGGAUAACAUUUGGAAACAGAUGCUAAUACCGAAUAAAACUUAGUAUCGCAUGAUAUCAAGUUAAAAGGCGCUACGGCGUCACCUAGAGAUGGAUCCGCGGUGCAUUAGUUAGUUGGUGGGGUAAAGGCUUACCAAGACGAUGAUGCAUAGCCGAGUUGAGAGACUGAUCGGCCACAUUGGGACUGAGACACGGCCCAAACUCCUACGGGAGGCUGCAGUAGGGAAUCUUCCACAAUGGGCGCAAGCCUGAUGGAGCAACGCCGCGUGUGUGAUGAAGGCUUUCGGGUCGUAAGGCACUGUUGUAUGGGAAGAAAUGCUAAAAUAGGGAAUGAUUUUAGUUUGACGGUACCAUACCAGAAAGGGACGGCUAAAUACGUGCCAGCAGCCGCGGUAAUACGUAUGUCCCGAGCGUUAUCCGGAUUUAUUGGGCGUAAAGCGAGCGCAGACGGUUGAUUAAGUCUGAUGUGAAAGCCCGGAGCUCAACUCCGGAAUGGCAUUGGAAACUGGUUAACUUGAGUGUUGUAGAGGUAAGUGGAACUCCAUGUGUAGCGGUGGAAUGCGUAGAUAUAUGGAAGAACACCAGUGGCGAAGGCGGCUUACUGGACAACAACUGACGUUGAGGCUCGAAAGUGUGGGUACAAACACGAUAGAUACCCUGGUAGUCCAAGGGCGAAUUCCACAGUGGAUAUCAGCUUAUCGAUCCGGCGACCUCCAGGGGGGCCCGGUACCCAGCUUUGUCCCUUUA